GACGAACGCUGGCGGCGUGCCUAAUACAUGCAAGUUGAGCGCUGAAGGUUGGUCCUUGUACCAACUGGAUGAGCAGCGAACGGGUGAGUAACGCGUGGGGAAUCUGCCUUUGAGCGGGGGACAACAUUUGGAAACGAAUGCUAAUACCGCAUAAAAACUUUAAACACAAGUUUUAAGUUUGAAAGAUGCAAUUGCAUCACUCAAAGAUGAUCCCGCGUUGUAUUAGCUAGUUGGUGAGGUAAAGGCUCACCAAGGCGAUGAUACAUAGCCGACCUGAGAGGGGGAUCGGCCACAUUUGGACUGAGACACGGCCCAAACUCCUACGGGAGGCAGCCGUAGGGAAUCUUCGGCAAUGGACGAAAGUCUGACCGAGCAACGCCGCGUGAGUGGAGAAGGUUUUCGGGUCGUAAAACUCUGUUGGUAGAGAAGAACGUUGGUGAGAGUGGAAAGCUCAUCAAGUGACGGUAACUACCCAGAAAGGGACGGCUAACUACGUG
This 497-nucleotide ribosomal RNA is filed under the name uncultured bacterium. Its description in RNAcentral is "partial 16S ribosomal RNA". It matches the Rfam family "Bacterial small subunit ribosomal RNA", at positions 28 to 507 of the family's 1533-position model. The record is from RNAcentral.